This 301-nucleotide ribosomal RNA is filed under the name uncultured bacterium. RNAcentral's name for it is "partial 16S ribosomal RNA". It matches the Rfam family "Bacterial small subunit ribosomal RNA", at positions 509 to 807 of the family's 1533-position model. The record is from RNAcentral.
CAGUAGCCACGGUAAUACGAAGGGUGCAAGCGUUAAUCGGAAUUAUUGGGCGUAAAGGGCUCGCAGGCGGUUUCUUAAGUCUGAUGUGAAAGCCCCCGGCUCAACCGGGGAGGGUCAUUGGAAACUGGGAAACUUGAGUGCAGAAGAGGAGAGUGGAAUUCCACGUGUAGCGGUGAAAUGCGUAGAGAUGUGGAGGAACACCAGUGGCGAAGGCGACUCUCUGGUCUGUAACUGACGCUGAGGAGCGAAAGCGUGGGGAGCGAACAGGAUUAGAUACCCCUGUAGUCCCUGUCUCUUAUAC